This 404-nucleotide long non-coding RNA is filed under the name Ictidomys tridecemlineatus (thirteen-lined ground squirrel). RNAcentral's name for it is "lncRNA (ENSSTOG00000034089.1)". Lineage: Eukaryota; Metazoa; Chordata; Mammalia; Rodentia; Sciuridae. The record is from RNAcentral.
CAACACUUUAAGUACAUUACAUGACCUUGCAAAGGACAGGUCUAAUCUUUUUAAGAGAGGCACUUUUCCUGCAUUGACCUUCCUCCUGCCCUGCUAUCUUCCAGGGAAAGAAAUGCUGUCUCCCACCCAGCAUCUGAAGUCACAGAACAUCUGGAAACCAUAGGAAGCUCUGCUUACCAGAUGGAAACUGGACAAGAAAGAGAAAUGACCAGAAUUGUCAAGGAGAUGAUGUAUGGGACACAUUCCCUUGGUGAUACUUCUGGUGGUUCCGAAAGACCCUGGCCUAGUGUUGCCCUAACCUAGCAGAGUCCAAGCAUCGGAAAAUGCCAGGAAGUGGUAAGAGAUCCACAGCCAUAGUGGCCACAACCAAACCUGGGAGGUGUUGGGAAAACAUAAUGGCAGCC